AUCCAAGUACAAUCCAAGCAAGCAUCCCCUAUAAAAGCUCACCGCCUGUCAAAAUCCACGCGACUCGCACACCAACGAAACGGCAAAACUCCAACGUCUUCGUCAGUCCUCAGCGGUCAGUCAAGCGAACAAGACAAACUGCGCUCGUGGUGAUCUGGUUAGUGUAGUGGAGAAAAAAGAAAAGUCGAAUUGCAGAGUUCAUAAUCGCUCAAUCACCGUCGUCAUCAGCAGCAAAAGGAAAAACUCGGCUGAUUUCUGUUUCAAGUCGAAGAUUCAAAACCGACCGAGUGUUGUUUGGCUUUUUUUUCGCUGCAAAUAAUCAAGCUUCGCGUUCUUAUCAACAACUUGUCUUGACUGACUGCCGUCGUACCCGCCGCGUGAGGAACAAGGCAGAAAGGAAUUUUUAUAAAAGCGGUCAGCUGGUGCCGAACGGAUCUCAUUUGCUCGGCUGGAAUCGUCCCGUCUGGAAGUGUCGUGUGCGGCGUGAAAACUCUCCCCCCAUCCGGUAGGUUGUAGUGUACUACCACGACAAUCGCUUGGAAGUGAACGAAGAAAGUGUGUGUGCUUCGGUGUCGUUUGAAUAUCGCAAGUGCUGGGAGGAUUUUGAGGAAGAUUUUUCGGUGAAGUCAAGAUUGGAAGCAGCUUGAAAUUGACACAAUCGCCAGUAUGGAGCAAGUCAACGGAAGCGCGCAGAAGGAAGUUCGAGUUUGGUGCGAUGGAUGCUAUGACAUGGUGCACUUUGGUCACGCCAACUCGCUGCGGCAGGCAAAAGCUCUCGGCCACAAACUGGUUGUAGGCAUUCACAACGAUGCAGACAUCUCCAAAAACAAAGGUCCCCCGGUGUUUACCCAGGAAGAACGGUA
Long non-coding RNA from Aedes albopictus (Asian tiger mosquito), 863 nucleotides. RefSeq lists it as uncharacterized. The transcript has 2 exons. Lineage: Eukaryota; Metazoa; Arthropoda; Insecta; Diptera; Culicidae. The record is from RefSeq and is a predicted model, not a curated record.